GUCUUCUCGGUUUCGGGAAAGAUCGGAGGAUAAUACGACACAUUAAAUAGAAAGCUUUUAUGAUCACACUGACAUUCUUUACUAGUAAACUAAUUUGUUUUAACGUUUCAAGUGCUUGCGAUGGUUGUUGUCACGAAAGAGGGUGAUUCAUUGUUGUAAUGGUUUGUAAACAUGUUAUGGAGCUAUGUAGCUAGUUCUAAAUUUUUUCAUGAGCACAGCACAAAGAGUUAGGGUGGAAUAUGAACUACGCCAUCGCUUUGCAUCUAUUUUCACACACUUGUGGAGAUUAUUCAGAAGUCUUAGUGCAAAACUCCGAACUAAUUACACUUAUAACACAGUCUUCUGUUUGCAUUAUGAAGAGACGACGAAAAAAAUUAUGUGGUUUGUGAACGCAUUUUGGCUCUGGUCGCCCGCAGAGGAAACAUGAUUUCAUUCAGGAACCAGAAUGUUAUUAUGUGGCUCUGGUUUGGGAUUUGCAGAUGAUCACAUGAUGGAUGACCUGACUAAUUUCGGCAGGCAGGAAAAUGGCCUUGCCGAAAUUAUGCCCCCUCCCAAAACUAUGUGAAUAGAGUAAAAUACUUUUUUGUGGGAUACUCGAGGUCAUCAUGAGCUACCAAAAUGACUUGCUUAAAAUUGUGGCUACAGUCAAAUACCUUUUGUGGCACUACUGAGUUUGGCAGGCAAUAUGGUUUUAUCCUAAUUUGACUCUAUAGUUACAGUAGAAGCACAUUAUAAAUACCAUUCAUAAAAUGAUACAAACAUUUCAGAGCAAUGAUGGCUGAAAUAUUAUCCUUUACUUACUUUAGAAAACACUAGUCGAAUAAGAAAUGGGAGAUUUUGCCAACGAUUUGUUUAUAGUAAUGCACUUAAAACAAAUAGCCAUCCAAAAACUGCACAGUGCCUUCCCACGCGAUCAACCGGCCUUACGGUUUCUAAUGAAACGCAGCCUAACGUGGUCAUCGAUUGCUGCCUUGAUGUACACGGUUAAAUUAAAUCAUUUUGCUACGAAGAUCAGUAAAAUAUGUAGGCUAAACUGUCCUCUCAACAAGCAAACAGCAAAGCAGCAAUAAGAAUCGGGGGAUAUGUUUUCGCCGGGACACCCAACAAUCCCAGGCAAACCGGGACGCCUGGGCACCCUAUGAUCGGCUCCAGUUAUCCGUAUUUACAAGACCUCAGACAUCCCAACCUGCAAAAAGUCAUUUCACUCCCGGAACUAUGCGGGAUGUCUGAGACCUACACACCUCGAGGACGCGAAGGCCAGCGGCAAAGAUUGGGGCUGAUCCCUCUCACCCUGGAAAUGGAUUAUUCAGAACUCUCUCCUCUGGCAGAAGGUUGAGGUCUAUCAUGAACAUGCCCCGGGAGCCAAACAUAGCCCACUCCUCACAUACACACAAUCCUCAACUGGACAAAUCUACAACCCCUCCUCACAUACACACAACCCUCAACUGGACAAAUCUACAACCCCUCCUCACAUACACACAACCCUCAACUGGACAAAUCUACAACCCCUCCCCAUAUACACACAACCCUCAACUGGACAAAUCUACAACCCCUCCUCACAUACACACAACCCUCAACUGGACAAAUCUACAACCCCUCCCCAUAUACACACAACCCUCAACUGGACAAAUCUACAACCCCUCCUCACAUACACACAACCCUCAACUGGACAAAUCUACAACCCCUCCUCACAUACACAC
Molecule: long non-coding RNA, 1700 nt
Organism: Esox lucius (northern pike)
Lineage: Eukaryota; Metazoa; Chordata; Actinopteri; Esociformes; Esocidae
Source: Ensembl